UUUAGGGAGACCAUCUAAUAAUAGACCGAACCUAAACAAUAGGUCGUUAUUAGUCAUCCCUGGUCGUUCGAGGAAUAGAUGUCAAAGCUUUCAAACUAUUAACUGGUUCGGAACUCGCGGGCUAUUAGCUCAGUUGGUUAGAGCGCACCCCUGAUAAGGGUGAGGUCCCUGGUUCAAAUCCAGGAUGGCCCACCUGGAAAAAAGUGAUGAAUUGUCAGUAAUGAGAAAUGGAUAAUCAAAAAAGAUUAAUUCAGGACUCAUAAAAUCCAAAUCAGAACUUACAAGUGUGGGGGUAUAGCUCAGUUGGUAGAGCGCCUGCCUUGCACGCAGGAAGUCAGCGGUUCGAGUCCGCUUACCUCCACUCUCACUAACUAGAACCAACCACAAAAAACCCAAAGAAAUAGAAAUCAGCACCCAGACUAACUUGAUUAAAAUCAAAAAAGAAGUCGGAAUGCUGGAGUCUAGAACUCUAGUCAGAACCUUGAAAACUGCAUAGAAAUUAAGUCAUCAAAGCGUGUAGGAUGUCAUCCGAGCAAUCGGAGCAUCCCACAAGCGACCACCAUGAAAAAAUCAA
RNAcentral lists this transfer RNA (574 nucleotides) under Microcoleus autumnalis ULC095. Its description in RNAcentral is "Phormidium autumnale ULC095 partial 16S-23S ribosomal RNA intergenic spacer". The stretch from base 289 to 361 matches the Rfam family "tRNA". The record is from RNAcentral. Lineage: Bacteria; Bacillati; Cyanobacteriota; Cyanophyceae; Oscillatoriales; Microcoleaceae.